UUCAGGAACGUUACUCAUUAG
This is a non-coding RNA of Caenorhabditis elegans, 21 nucleotides long. The record is from Ensembl. NCBI's taxonomy places the organism in Eukaryota, Metazoa, Nematoda, Chromadorea, Rhabditida, Rhabditidae.